RNAcentral lists this signal recognition particle RNA (97 nucleotides) under Gammaproteobacteria bacterium. RNAcentral describes it as "signal recognition particle sRNA small type". It matches the Rfam family "Bacterial small signal recognition particle RNA". From Rfam's summary of the family: The signal recognition particle (SRP) is a universally conserved ribonucleoprotein involved in the co-translational targeting of proteins to membranes. Archaeal SRP consists of a 7S RNA and homologues of the eukaryotic SRP19 and SRP54 proteins. In most bacteria, the SRP consists of a 4.5S RNA and the Ffh protein (a homologue of the eukaryotic SRP54 protein). Lineage: Bacteria; Pseudomonadati; Pseudomonadota; Gammaproteobacteria. RNAcentral also lists the same sequence under 1 other name. The record is from RNAcentral.
UACCGGUCCCCUCGCGACGAGACGUUGUCAACCCCGCCAGGCCCGGAAGGGAGCAACGGUCGCAGCGCCUUCGUGCGCCGGGGUGUGAUGGGUACGG